ACGGAAGGCAGCAGUCGGGAAUAUUGCUCAAUGGAGGCAACUCUGACGCAGUGACGCCGCGUGCAGGAAGAAGGCUUUCGGAUUGUAAACUGCUUUAGACAGGGAAGAAAAAAAUGACAGUACCUGUAGAAUAAGCUCCGGCUAACUACGUGCCAGCAGCCGCGGUAAUACGUAGGGAGCAGGCGUUAUCCGGAUUUAUUGGGUGUAAAGGGUGCGUAGACGGGAAAUUAAGUUAGUUGUGAAAUCCCACGGCUCAACUGUGGAGCUGCAACGAAAACUGGUUCUCUUGAGUACUGGAGAGGAAGGUGGAAUUCCUAGUGUAGCGGUGAAAUGCGUAGAUAUUAGGAGGAACACCAGUGGCGAAGGCAACUUUCUGGACAGAAACUGACGUUGAGGCACGAAAGUGUGGGGAGCAAACAGGAUUAGAUACCCUGGUA
This 437-nucleotide ribosomal RNA is filed under the name uncultured Anaerobacterium sp. RNAcentral describes it as "partial 16S ribosomal RNA". It matches the Rfam family "Bacterial small subunit ribosomal RNA", at positions 341 to 792 of the family's 1533-position model. The record is from RNAcentral. Lineage: Bacteria; Bacillati; Bacillota; Clostridia; Eubacteriales; Oscillospiraceae.